This 483-nucleotide ribosomal RNA is filed under the name uncultured bacterium. Its description in RNAcentral is "bacterial SSU rRNA". It matches the Rfam family "Bacterial small subunit ribosomal RNA", at positions 30 to 520 of the family's 1533-position model. The record is from RNAcentral.
CGAACGUUUGCGGCGGGCUUAACACAUGCAAGUCGAACGAGAAUCCCUUCGGGGAGGAAAGUGGCGCACGGGUGCGUAACACGUGGAUGACCUACCCCUUGGUUCGGGACAACAGCGGGAAACUGCUGCUAAUACCGGAUGUGUCGUAGCAAUACGAGAAAGGCCCGCAAGGGUCGCCAGAGGACGGGUCCGCGUCCCAUCAGCUAGUUGGUGAGGUAAUGGCUCACCAAGGCGAAGACGGGUAGCUGGUCUGAGAGGAUGAUCAGCCACACUGGAACUGAGACACGGUCCAGACUCCUACGGGAGGCAGCAGUGGGGAAUAUUGCGCAAUGGGCGAAAGCCUGACGCAGCCACGCCGCGUGAGCGAUGAAGGUCUUCGGAUCGUAAAGCUCUGUGGGGGGAGAAGAAGAAAAGUCGGUGAAGAGCCGGCCCUGACGGUAUCCCCUUAGCAAGCACCGGCUAACUCCGUGCCAGCAGCCGCGG